RNAcentral lists this unclassified non-coding RNA (247 nucleotides) under plant metagenome. RNAcentral's name for it is "partial contains small subunit ribosomal RNA, internal transcribed spacer 1, and 5.8S ribosomal RNA". The stretch from base 1 to 54 matches the Rfam family "Eukaryotic small subunit ribosomal RNA", at positions 1778 to 1831 of the family's 1831-position model. The record is from RNAcentral.
GGAAGUGAAAGUCGUAACAAGGUCUCCGUUGGUGAACCAGCGGAGGGAUCAUUACAGGACUCGCAAGACUCCUACAACCCUGUGAACUUAACUAUAAGCACGUUGCUUCGGCGGGUGUCUCGGAGGGGGUUCUCCCUCCCCGAGACGCUAAACCCGCCGGCAGCCUACUAUACUCUGUCUCUUUGCGUUGGCAUCUCGAGUACAAUCAAACAAGUUAAAACUUUCAACAACGGAUCUCUUGGUUCUG